CCUACGGGGGGCAGCAGUGGGGAAUAUUGCACAAUGGGGGAAACCCUGAUGCAGCGACGCCGCGUGAGUGAAGAAGUAUUUCGGUAUGUAAAGCUCUAUCAGCAGGGAAGAAAAGGACGGUACCUGAUUAAGAAGCCCCGGCCAACUACGUGCCAGCAGCCGCGGGAAUACGUAGGGGGCAAGCGUUAUCCGGAUUUACUGGGUGUAAAGGGAGCGUAGACGGCAGGACAAGUCUGGAGUGAAAUGCCGGGGCUUAACCCCGGAACUUUUUGGAAACUGUGCAGCUAGAGUGCAGGAGAGGUAAGUGGAAUGCCUGGUGUAGCGGUGAAAUGCGUAGAUAUUAGGAAGAACACCGGUGGCGAAGGCGGCUUACUGGACUGUAACUGACGUUGAGGCUCGAAAGCGUGGGGAGCAAACAGGAUUAGAUACCCUAGUAGUC
Molecule: ribosomal RNA, 439 nt
Filed under: uncultured bacterium
Lineage: Bacteria
Description: partial 16S ribosomal RNA
Rfam family: Bacterial small subunit ribosomal RNA
Source: RNAcentral